RNAcentral lists this small RNA (16 nucleotides) under Arabidopsis thaliana (thale cress). RNAcentral's name for it is "ATSL179200". The record is from RNAcentral. Lineage: Eukaryota; Viridiplantae; Streptophyta; Magnoliopsida; Brassicales; Brassicaceae.
CUUUUAAAAACUCUUA